CAUGUAGGCGGUCUGCUAAGUUCGGAGUGACAGUCACCAGCUUAACUGGUGAAGUGCUUUGAAAACUGGCUGACUUGAGAGCGAGAGAGGGACACGGAAUUCCGGGUGGAGCAGUGAAAUGCGUAGAGAUCCGGAGGAACACCGAAGGCGAAGGCAGUGUCCUGGCUCGUUUCUGACGCUGAGGUGCGAAAGCCAGGGGAGCGAACGGGAUUAGAUACCCCGGUAGUCCUGGCCGUAAACAAUGACCACCAGGUGUGGGAGGGAUCGACCCCUUCCGUGCCGUAGUCAACACAUUAAGUGGUCCGCCUGGGGAGUACGGUCGCAAGACUAAA
RNAcentral lists this ribosomal RNA (332 nucleotides) under uncultured bacterium. Its description in RNAcentral is "bacterial SSU rRNA". It matches the Rfam family "Bacterial small subunit ribosomal RNA", at positions 568 to 898 of the family's 1533-position model. The record is from RNAcentral.